UGCAUCUAUUUUUCUUUUAUGUAUCCAUUUACACCCAAUGGAUACUAUACCCUCGGGUGGAUCCACUAAGGUCCAUAUUUGGUUUGAAUGCAUCGAGUUAAUUUUUGACUUCAUAGCAUCUAACUAUUUCUCAGAGUCGAUGUCGGGCAUCACAUCAUCAAAGGUAUUAAGAUCAUCUCUAUAACCCCUAUCUCCCACA
RNAcentral lists this long non-coding RNA (199 nucleotides) under Elaeis guineensis (African oil palm). RNAcentral describes it as "long non-coding RNA (EGUI_LNC041452)". Lineage: Eukaryota; Viridiplantae; Streptophyta; Magnoliopsida; Arecales; Arecaceae. The record is from RNAcentral.